This 405-nucleotide ribosomal RNA is filed under the name uncultured bacterium. Its description in RNAcentral is "bacterial SSU rRNA". It matches the Rfam family "Bacterial small subunit ribosomal RNA", at positions 355 to 776 of the family's 1533-position model. The record is from RNAcentral.
UGGGGAAUCUUGCGCAAUGGGCGAAAGCCUGACGCAGCAACGCCGCGUGCGGGAUGAAGGCCCUAGGGUCGUAAACCGCUUUCGGCAGGGAAGAAAAUGACGGUACCUGCAGAAGAAGCCCCGGCCAACUACGUGCCAGCAGCCGCGGUAAUACGUAGGGGGCGAGCGUUGUCCGGAUUUAUUGGGCGUAAAGAGCUCGUAGGCGGUUGACUAAGUCAGGUGUGAAAACUCAGGGCCCAACUCUGAGCGUGCACUUGAUACUGGUCUGACUAGAGUCAAGUAGGGGAGUGUGGAAUUCCCAGUGUAGCGGUGAAAUGCGCAGAUAUUGGGAGGAACACCAGCAGCGAAGGCGGCACUCUGGGCUUGUACUGACGCUGAGGAGCGAAAGCAUGGGUAGCAAACAGG